GGGGCUGAUUCUGGAUUCGACGGGAUUUGCGAAACCCAAGGUGCAUGCCGAGGGGCGGUUGGCCUCGUAAAAAGCCGCAAAAAAUAGUCGCAAACGACGAAAACUACGCUUUAGCAGCUUAAUAACCUGCUUAGAGCCCUCUCUCCCUAGCCUCCGCUCUUAGGACGGGGAUCAAGAGAGGUCAAACCCAAAAGAGAUCGCGUGGAAGCCCUGCCUGGGGUUGAAGCGUUAAAACUUAAUCAGGCUAGUUUGUUAGUGGCGUGUCCGUCCGCAGCUGGCAAGCGAAUGUAAAGACUGACUAAGCAUGUAGUACCGAGGAUGUAGGAAUUUCGGACGCGGGUUCAACCCCCGCCAGCUCCACCA
RNAcentral lists this transfer-messenger RNA (363 nucleotides) under Escherichia coli. It matches the Rfam family "transfer-messenger RNA". From Rfam's summary of the family: Bacterial tmRNA, also known as 10Sa RNA or SsrA, is named for its dual tRNA and mRNA-like properties. Its role is to liberate the mRNA from a stalled ribosome. Lineage: Bacteria; Pseudomonadati; Pseudomonadota; Gammaproteobacteria; Enterobacterales; Enterobacteriaceae. The record is from RNAcentral.